Molecule: long non-coding RNA, 699 nt
Organism: Harpia harpyja (harpy eagle)
Lineage: Eukaryota; Metazoa; Chordata; Aves; Accipitriformes; Accipitridae
Exons: 4
Source: RefSeq, a predicted model, not a curated record
UGCAAAUACCAUUUUUUCACAAAGAGGAGACCAUUGUACAAAUACUGUGCUGUUCUGCUUCAUCAGUGAUCAAGAUUUUUUCAAGUGUAGUCUCUGGUUUGGAUUUGUGUAAACAUUGAACUGGAAAGGGAGUCCAAUGCGAUUAUGCAACUACCUGGAACACAACAGCUCCCUCCUGUGCAGACGGACUCAAAGGCUGAGUCUGGGUAAUGAGACAGCACUGAAGAUAAGAUGCUGCUCAGUUUUUCCAAAAUGAGAGAAGAAACAGAGAGAUUGUUUGUGAGAGAGAGACGUCCAUAUCAGCCCCUGUGAUACAAACUUGUUCCAGCUAUGAUAUUGGAUUAUAACUGCCAUGGUGAGCUGCCACAAAGUCCAUCAGCAUUCUGGGAAAGGUGUUUUGGGCUCGUGCAUUAGAUCUAAUGAAGUUUACUCUUGCACUGUAUUACACCUUGCAGAUAAUCCUAUCAGGUCAAUGGAUUUCAACUGGCAUAUCUCUGAUGUGUGGAGGAAACAGCCACAGGGAUUCCCAAAAAGCAGCUAAGGAAAUCCAACCCGUUGCGAGUCUGCUUGUUCGCUAGACAGGGAUGCACAUCCCCACUGGAAGGCUGAAAAAGACUUUGAAAACUACUAAUCUCAGUUAAUAAAAAUUCAUUAUUGCAAAUAAAGCAGCACUGGCUUUCUUUAAGCAUGAGAAAUGCU